This 45-nucleotide non-coding RNA is filed under the name Schistosoma mansoni. The record is from RNAcentral. Lineage: Eukaryota; Metazoa; Platyhelminthes; Trematoda; Strigeidida; Schistosomatidae.
AUCCGACUGACGAGUUCCAAAUAGGACGAAACGUGCGCCCUGGAU